UUAACAGAAUCAUUCUAACUCCUACUUUGAAAAACGCUGAUGCUCCUGAGGUGGCAGGCGUAUAAAAACAAAAACAAAAAAAGAAAAACGCUGAUGAGUUGAUGACUUGGACUACAGUUGGAUACAGUGAAGAUGGUGUGAGGUGGUUGGAUUCUAGAAAUAUUUUGAAGCUAGAGUCAAUAGAAUAUCCUGACAGGUUGAACAGGUAAGCGACGGAAAAAAAGGCGACGACAACAUCAACAUUUUGGCCAUUGCAACUGGAAGGAUGGAUAAAGUUACUGUCGAGAUGGAAAGACUUGGAGCAGCUAUACAGAUGAGGAAACUGAGACUCAAGUAAAGUAACUGGCA
This 348-nucleotide long non-coding RNA is filed under the name Homo sapiens (human). Its description in RNAcentral is "HSALNT0018733". Lineage: Eukaryota; Metazoa; Chordata; Mammalia; Primates; Hominidae. The record is from RNAcentral.